GAUGAACGCUGGCGGCGCGCCUAACACAUGCAAGUCGAACGAUUAAAGCACCUUCGGGUGUGUAUAAAGUGGCGAACGGCUGAGUAACACGUGGGCAACCUGCCCCUCUCAUUGGGAUAGCCACGGGAAACCGUGGAUAAUACCGAAUACUUCGGGACUUCCGCAUGGAAGACUCGAGAAAGCUCCGGCGGAGAGGGAUGGGCCCGCGGCCUGUUAGCUUGUUGGUGGGGUAAUGGCCUACCAAGGCAAUGAUGGGUAGCUGGGUUGAGAGGCCGACCAGCCAGAUUGGGACUGAGACACGGCCCAGACUCCUACGGGAGGCAGCAGUGGGGAAUCUUGCACAAUGGGCGGAAGCCUGAUGCAGCGACGCCGCGUGCGGGAUGAAGGCCUUCGGGUUGUAAACCGCUUUCAGCAGGGACGAGGCGAAAGUGACGGUACCUGCAGAAGAAGCCCCGGCUAACUACGUG
Molecule: ribosomal RNA, 467 nt
Filed under: uncultured bacterium
Lineage: Bacteria
Description: partial 16S ribosomal RNA
Rfam family: Bacterial small subunit ribosomal RNA
Source: RNAcentral